GUCGACGGACAUACCAACCUGAACGCGCCCGAUCUCUUCUGAUCUCUGAAGCAAUCAGGGUCGUGACUGGAUCUGGACUGCAUGGCAGACCGUCUGGGUUAUACCGGUACCAGGACC
Molecule: ribosomal RNA, 117 nt
Filed under: Tursiops truncatus (common bottlenose dolphin)
Lineage: Eukaryota; Metazoa; Chordata; Mammalia; Artiodactyla; Delphinidae
Source: RNAcentral